RNAcentral lists this long non-coding RNA (336 nucleotides) under Salmo salar (Atlantic salmon). Its description in RNAcentral is "lncRNA (ENSSSAG00000114212.1)". The record is from RNAcentral. Lineage: Eukaryota; Metazoa; Chordata; Actinopteri; Salmoniformes; Salmonidae.
GUACAGUAGAGGAGUGGUAGAAGGAGAGAUGAAUGAGGAGAAGGAGGUACAGCAGAGGAGUGGUAGAGGGAGAGAUGAAUGAGGAGGAGGUAGAGGAGUGGUAGAGGGGGAGAUGAAUGACUACAAGGAGGUACAGUAGAGGAGUGGUAGAGGGGGAGAUGACUGACUAGAAGGAGGUACAGUAGAGGAGUGGUAGAGGGAGAGAUGAAUGAUGAGAAGGAGGUAGAGGAGUGGUAGAAGGAGAGAUGAAUGAGGAGAAGGAGGUACAGUAAAGGACUGGUAGAGGGAGAGAUGAAUGAGGAGGAGGUACAGUAGAGGAGUGGUAGAAGGAGAGAU